GUCUCUGGCCAUACCACCCUGAACACCCCCGAUCUCGUCUGAUCUCGGAAGCUAAGCAGGGUCGGGCCUGGUUAGAAAUUGGAUGGGAGGCCACCUGGGAAUACCGGGUGCUGUAGGCU
Bison bison bison is the source of this 119-nucleotide ribosomal RNA. Lineage: Eukaryota; Metazoa; Chordata; Mammalia; Artiodactyla; Bovidae. The record is from Ensembl.